RNAcentral lists this ribosomal RNA (645 nucleotides) under Mycena vulgaris. RNAcentral describes it as "eukaryotic LSU rRNA". The stretch from base 229 to 382 matches the Rfam family "5.8S ribosomal RNA". Lineage: Eukaryota; Fungi; Basidiomycota; Agaricomycetes; Agaricales; Mycenaceae. The record is from RNAcentral.
AAAAAGCUGGCUCUUCACUGANCAUGUGCUCGUUUCCAUCUAUUUAUCUUCUCUUGUGCACCNUUUGUAGUCUUUGAAAAAGUGAACCUCUCGCAGCGAUGCGGUUUGGGGGACUUGGGCGCGAGCCCUUCCCCUGCUUGCUUUCUUCAAGGCUAUGUUUUYAUAUACACUAUAAAGUUACAGAAUGUCUAUUAAAGAUUGUGCUAGUCGCAGUCAUUAAACCUAUACAACUUUCAGCAACGGAUCUCUUGGCUCUCCCAUCGAUGAAGAACGCAGCGAAAUGCGAUAAGUAAUGUGAAUUGCAGAAUUCAGUGAAUCAUCGAAUCUUUGAACGCACCUUGCGCCCUUUGGUAUUCCGAAGGGCAUGCCUGUUUGAGUGUCAUUAAAUCAUCAACCCAAAAGCUUUGUCACCGAAGCGUUUGCGGCUUGGACGUGGGGGUUUGCUGGCUUCCUUCAGUGGAUGGUCUGCUCCCCUUAAAUGCAUUAGCGGGAUCUCUUGUGGACCGUCACUUGGUGUGAUAAUUAUCUAUACCACGUUGGCCUUGAAGCAAAACUUAUGGGAACCCGCUCAUAACCGUCUUCGGACAANUCUUGACAUUUUGACCUCAAAUCAGGUAGGACUACCCGCUGAACUUAAGCAUAUCA